UCACAGCCAAACGUUUGAGCGCUGCAUUUCUACUUCCUGUUGCCCUUCAACUGUGUGGGGAGUGGAGCGAGAUCAAUGUUAUGGUAAGAAAUCUAAAGCCAUCCUACAUCCAAUUUCUUCAAAUUGUGUCGAAAUUGUGUAGUUUAUAUUAGAUGGAUACUAUUUGGUUUGAUUUCUGUUCACAUUUCCGUAGUUUGUUAUUGCUGUAGCCUAAACGGUUAAAUCCUGCAUGGCAGGUGUUCCAGUGCAUGUGUGCUUCAGGCUAGCGGUUCUUUGGCAACUUGGCUUGUUUGUUACUUCUCUACAGGUCGACAGUAAACUAAACCAACCUUGAAAUUGGUUAUUAUGCUGUUUGAAACGACACAAAGCCACAAGUGAUUGUCAUACAAAACUAUUGUGGUAUUUUUGUCAUUCUCCUCAACGGGACAUCCAUGUGGCGACAUGGCUGGUAUUAUCUCCGUGUUCAAUCUGGUCAAGCAGAUGAGGGGCCUUCAUUUACUGCCGACAUAGAUGAGGUUCUGAUCAAGAAGGUGAUGCAACGCCCAUGCUCAACCUGGAGGAAGGAGGUUCUCCGGGAGCCAGCAAUUCCAGACUUCCAGAACAGAUGGCACUUUUUGAUGCCAGCGAGAUCAAUUUGGAAUUCAUGUAAAUUGCCACUGUACCUCUGACCUCAAUUCUUUGGUGAACUGGACUAUCGGGCAAGUGGCCUUAUCCGGAUCUUCUGUACCGAAGGUGGAGCUGUAGGACGGAAGAUCUCUGCCAUAAUGACCCACAUGGGACAUGAUGCCGGCGAACUGUCUGUGUAUGAACUUCAGCGACUUGAACAUCUUUGAAGAUUUCACAAGCAUGUGGACAUGCAGCAGAGGAUCUCCGGACUCGGGAUGCAAGUGAGGCCAAAGCAAGAUAAUGAAGACCUUGAAUGCAGACAGGCCUGGGCAGACACUGCUGAGAAGACCAUGGGCAUCUACACAGUCCGGACAGAGGGUGAUGGUCUAGGUGAUGCAUGUUUUGAAGAUGUCUGUGUGGCACUGGACGGUGUGAGUUCUCCAGAGCCUGCGGAGUGUCGGCCAUGCAUGUGUUGGGCUUUAUGAACGAAUCUAUGCACCAACUUGAGCUAUCCAAAAAGACUGCGAAAUAUACAUACAUUUGAGGGUUACCAGAAAGUUCUGAUGGACCUGUACUCAAGCAAGCUUGAAAUAGCUCCUGUGAUUCAGUGGCAUACACGCCUGUUAGACUCUCACUUCGCUUCCGCUCACACUGCCGCAGUGGCAUUGGUUGUGACCCGUAGAUGGUCGACCAGGGGAAAAAAACUAUAAAACUCAUGAUAUUUUUGUCUUCGACCAAGUGGUCAGUGUGGAGGAGUUUGAGGUUUUUUUUUGUUUUUUUUUUUAAUCCAUGUCUGCUGUCGGCCACAUACACACAACUGUUGCCCACACACCAGCGGCCUAUACUACAAAACUGGUUCAGGAUACGUUAAGGUUAAGUUGAGAGUGAAAUCAACUAAUAGAAGAGCCCAGAGUACUUAUUUUCUUUAGAAAGGCUCUUAGAUGAUGAGAUAAAGGUAUUAGAUGAUUUACCUAACUUAGUAAUAGGCCCCUGGUGAACUAUUCUGUACACAAACCAGCUGAACUAGUGUGCCGGCUCACUUGGUUGACUACGUGUAUUGGCUGCCUAAGUACACCUGCUGAACUUUUGUUGCACCCACAAACUUGGACUGUUGGCUGUGUGCACACACCUAUUAGGACUGUUGUACUUAAUGCCAGCUGAAGUAUUGUGUGUGCACACCUGAUCUUUUUCUUGUGUACUACACACCUGUGGGACUGUUUCGCCCACGCACGCUUGCGUGGCCAUUUGUGUUAACCUUUUGCGCCCGCAAGUCACACCAACACACUUACCCAACUUUUCUGUCUUUCAACUUGUGUUCAGAUGAGUUGUUUGUGUAAAAAAUGUUUGUACAGUAUAUAGAAAUGUACUGUGUUCUUUGUCAAGACACCUGUGUGAUGGAUGGUGAACAUGGUGUAAUUUCUGCCUUAUUUUCCCUUUCCUUGGUUUUUCUUAUUAUACAGGGUGUUUGUUAAAAUGUUUUUUGCAUUAGCUAGCUGGUCAGGAGGGGAAAAACCUCAGCAUACUGACCAUUUUGCUUUGAAAUUACUUUGACCUUUUGGUCUUACUCCAAGUGUGCAGGGGCCUAUACUACAAAGCUGGUUCAGGGUAAGUUAAGGUGUAAAUCAUCUAAUAUUACAUCUAAUAAUAAGAAAAUGAGGACUCCAGGCCCUUCUAUUAGGUAAUUUACCUCUUAACUAAACCUUAAAUUAUCCUGAACCAGCUUUGUAGUAUAGAUCCAAUUGAUUUUGCAGGUUUGGAUUCUUUGAAGUAAGCUGCGUUGUGACUCAUGCAUGUGAAGUACCGUAUUGUUUUUACUUUUGGUAUUGUGAAUAACCAACUACUAAAUAAUAAUCACUUCGUGAUUUAACGUAUGACUCUGUUUUUGGGAUCCCUUGCUGUGUCCAAGUGGCUAGGUGUUGCACUGAUGAUUUGUGUUGCAAAUAAAUAAGCUUUAUUUGAAAAAAGUUGUGUGUAUCA
This is a long non-coding RNA of Engraulis encrasicolus (European anchovy), 2583 nucleotides long. RefSeq lists it as uncharacterized. The transcript has 7 exons. The record is from RefSeq and is a predicted model, not a curated record. Lineage: Eukaryota; Metazoa; Chordata; Actinopteri; Clupeiformes; Engraulidae.